GACGAACGCUGGCGGCGUGCCUAAUACAUGCAAGUCGAGCGGACGAAUCGAAAGCUUGCUUUUGAUUCGUUAGCGGCGGACGGGUGAGUAACACGUGGGCAACCUGCCCUGUAGACGGGGUUAACACCGAGAAAUCGGUGCUAAUACCGGAUAACACGAAAUGUCGCAUGACGUUUCGUUGAAAGACGGCGCAAGCUGUCGCUACAGGAUGGGCCCGCGGCGCAUUAGCUAGUUGGUGAGGUAACGGCUCACCAAGGCGACGAUGCGUAGCCGACCUGAGAGGGUGAUCGGCAACACUGGGACUGAGACACGGCCCAGACUCCUACGGGAGGCAGCAGUAAGGAAUCUUCCGCAAUGGACGAAAGUCUGACGGAGCAACGCCGCGUGAGCGAAGAAGGCCUUCGGGUCGUAAAGCUCUGUUGUUAGGGAAGAACAAGUAACGCAGUAACUGGCGUUACCGUGACGGUACCUAACGAGAAAGCCACGGCUAACUACGUG
This 498-nucleotide ribosomal RNA is filed under the name uncultured bacterium. RNAcentral's name for it is "partial 16S ribosomal RNA". It matches the Rfam family "Bacterial small subunit ribosomal RNA", at positions 28 to 507 of the family's 1533-position model. The record is from RNAcentral.